GUAUAAUGGCUGAGGUAGGCAAUAAACUGUAAAUUUAUUUACGAAUAAUGUUAUUCUUUUACCA
This 64-nucleotide transfer RNA is filed under the name Ptilodactylidae sp. 3 ACP-2013. RNAcentral's name for it is "tRNA-Tyr". Lineage: Eukaryota; Metazoa; Arthropoda; Insecta; Coleoptera; Ptilodactylidae. The record is from RNAcentral.